GGGUUGUGAGGUUAAGCGACUAAGCGUACACGGUGGAUGCCCUGGCAGUCAGAGGCGAUGAAGGACGUGCUAAUCUGCGAAAAGCGUCGGUAAGGUGAUAUGAACCGUUAUAACCGGCGAUGUCCGAAUGGGGAAACCCAGUGUGAUUCGUCACACUAUCGUUAACUGAAUACAUAGGUUAACGAGGCGAACCGGGGGAACUGAAACAUCUAAGUACCCCGAGGAAAAGAAAUCAACCGAGAUUCCCCCAGUAGCGGCGAGCGAACGGGGAGCAGCCCAGAGUCUGAAUCAGCUUGUGUGUUAGUGGAACGGUCUGGAAAGUCCGACGGUACAGGGUGAUAGUCCCGUACACCAAAAUGCACAGGCUGUGAACUCGAAGAGUAGGGCGGGACACGUGGUAUCCUGUCUGAAUAUGGGGGACCAUCCUCCAAGGCUAAAUACUCCUGACUGACCGAUAGUGAACCAGUACCGUGAGGGAAAGGCGAAAAGAACCCCGGCGAGGGGAGUGAAAAAGAACCUGAAACCGUGUACGUACAAGCAGUGGGAGCACCUUCGGGUGUGACUGCGUACCUUUUGUAUAAUGGGUCAGCGACUUAUAUUCUGUAGCAAGGUUAACCGUAUAGGGGAGCCGCAGGGAAACCGAGUCUUAACUGGGCGUUAAGUUGCAGGGUAUAGACCCGAAACCCGGUGAUCUAGCCAUGGGCAGGUUGAAGGUUGGGUAACACUAACUGGAGGACCGAACCGACUAAUGUUGAAAAAUUAGCGGAUGACUUGUGGCUGGGGGUGAAAGGCCAAUCAAACCGGGAGAUAGCUGGUUCUCCCCGAAAGCUAUUUAGGUAGCGCCUCGUGAAUUCAUCUUCGGGGGUAGAGCACUGUUUCGGCUAGGGGGUCAUCCCGACUUACCAACCCGAUGCAAACUACGAAUACCGAAGAAUGUUAUCACGGGAGACACACGGCGGGUGCUAACGUCCGUCGUGAAGAGGGAAACAACCCAGACCGCCAGCUAAGGUCCCAAAGUCAUGGUUAAGUGGGAAACGAUGUGGGAAGGCACAGACAGCCAGGAUGUUGGCUUAGAAGCAGCCAUCAUUUAAAGAAAGCGUAAUAGCUCACUGGUCGAGUCGGCCUGCGCGGAAGAUGUAACGGGGCUAAACCAUGCACCGAAGCUGCGGCAGCGACACUAUGUGUUGUUGGGUAGGGGAGCGUUCUGUAAGCCUGCGAAGGUGACCUGUGAGGGUUGCUGGAGGUAUCAGAAGUGCGAAUGCUGACAUAAGUAACGAUAAAGCGGGUGAAAAGCCCGCUCGCCGGAAGACCAAGGGUUCCUGUCCAACGUUAAUCGGGGCAGGGUGAGUCGACCCCUAAGGCGAGGCCGAAAGGCGUAGUCGAUGGGAAACAGGUUAAUAUUCCUGUACUUGGUGUUACUGCGAAGGGGGGACGGAGAAGGCUAUGUUAGCCGGGCGACGGUUGUCCCGGUUUAAGCAUGUAGGCUGGUUGUCCAGGCAAAUCCGGAUAAUCAAGGCUGAGGUGUGAUGACGAGGCACUACGGUGCUGAAGUAACAAAUGCCCUGCUUCCAGGAAAAGCCUCUAAGCAUCAGGUAACAUCAAAUCGUACCCCAAACCGACACAGGUGGUCAGGUAGAGAAUACCAAGGCGCUUGAGAGAACUCGGGUGAAGGAACUAGGCAAAAUGGUGCCGUAACUUCGGGAGAAGGCACGCUGGUGUGUAGGUGAAGUCCCUGCGGAUGGAGCUGAGACCAGUCGAAGAUACCAGCUGGCUGCAACUGUUUAUUAAAAACACAGCACUGUGCAAACACGAAAGUGGACGUAUACGGUGUGACGCCUGCCCGGUGCCGGAAGGUUAAUUGAUGGGGUUAUCCGUAAGGAGAAGCUCUUGAUCGAAGCCCCGGUAAACGGCGGCCGUAACUAUAACGGUCCUAAGGUAGCGAAAUUCCUUGUCGGGUAAGUUCCGACCUGCACGAAUGGCGUAAUGAUGGCCAGGCUGUCUCCACCCGAGACUCAGUGAAAUUGAACUCGCUGUGAAGAUGCAGUGUACCCGCGGCAAGACGGAAAGACCCCGUGAACCUUUACUAUAGCUUGACACUGAACAUUGAGCCUUGAUGUGUAGGAUAGGUGGGAGGCUUUGAAGCGUGGACGCCAGUCUGCGUGGAGCCAACCUUGAAAUACCACCCUUUAAUGUUUGAUGUUCUAACGUUGGCCCCUUACCGGGGUUGCGGACAGUGUCUGGUGGGUAGUUUGACUGGGGCGGUCUCCUCCCAAAGCGUAACGGAGGAGCACGAAGGUUAGCUAAUCCUGGUCGGACAUCAGGAGGUUAGUGCAAUGGCAUAAGCUAGCUUGACUGCGAGCGUGACGGCGCGAGCAGGUGCGAAAGCAGGUCAUAGUGAUCCGGUGGUUCUGAAUGGAAGGGCCAUCGCUCAACGGAUAAAAGGUACUCCGGGGAUAACAGGCUGAUACCGCCCAAGAGUUCAUAUCGACGGCGGUGUUUGGCACCUCGAUGUCGGCUCAUCACAUCCUGGGGCUGAAGUAGGUCCCAAGGGUAUGGCUGUUCGCCAUUUAAAGUGGUACGCGAGCUGGGUUUAGAACGUCGUGAGACAGUUCGGUCCCUAUCUGCCGUGGGCGCUGGAGAAUUGAGGGGGGCUGCUCCUAGUACGAGAGGACCGGAGUGGACGCAUCACUGGUGUUCGGGUUGUCAUGCCAAUGGCACUGCCCGGUAGCUAAAUGCGGAAGAGAUAAGUGCUGAAAGCAUCUAAGCACGAAACUUGCCCCGAGAUGAGUUCUCCCUGAGACUUUAAGUCUCCUGAAGGAACGUUGAAGACGACGACGUUGAUAGGCCGGGUGUGUAAGCGCAGCGAUGCGUUGAGCUAACCGGUACUAAUGAACCGUGAGGCUUAACCUUACAACGCCGAAG
RNAcentral lists this ribosomal RNA (2922 nucleotides) under Klebsiella pneumoniae. RNAcentral describes it as "23S ribosomal RNA". It matches the Rfam family "Bacterial large subunit ribosomal RNA". Lineage: Bacteria; Pseudomonadati; Pseudomonadota; Gammaproteobacteria; Enterobacterales; Enterobacteriaceae. The record is from RNAcentral.